AAUUAUAUGUAAUAUCGUUUUAAUUAGCAGAGAUAUUAAAAUUGCGUUUUUAGCUUUAUGCUUUGCAAUCUCUUAUACAUUAAUAUCAAAUUUGAUAAUGAGUAACAUAAAUUGAAUAAAAUUAGUUCAUCAUAUGCAUAUGUAUUUUAGAUUACUGUAAUCAAUAAUAAAUCUAUAAUAGUCAAGCAGGAUAUAUCUAGUCAGGCAUAUCUAAUAAUCAGACAGGAAAUAUUUGUUCCGCAUAGCGGAAUUUCCUUCUCUAUAUCUUGCAAAGUCAAUAGACAUUUUGUGACCGAGAUUUAAAACCGCACGUCGCCAUUUUCCGGCCGUUAUAAAUAAACGAAGAAGAAAUUUUGUAAUGCUCAUUAUCUAAUGAUACGCCGUGUUAGAAGCAGUUUAUUUGCGCAUAUUAUAUGUUAAUCAUGAAGUUUCUUACAGUAGUGUGUGUUUUAGUGACUACAUGGAUUUAUGCCGAAAGCAUGCAAUUCAUCGACGAUGAAUUACGUCCGCAUGAAGGGGUGGCGAUAGGAUGCGCAGGAAGACGUAUGCAAUUGAAUAAUCAGAUGAAAGAGGUAAUGUGCGUGCCAAGGCACGCUAUGAUAAAAUUAAUACCGCAACCGGGCUACACUUUUUAUCCGAAUUAUGCCUCAGUGAAAAGAUGCAGCGGUUUCUGUCCGAGGAACAAAUCAUGCAUGCCAGUUCGCAAAAAUGUUAGAAAGAUCGCAGUAAGAAUGGACGGUUAUGACUCAAGCGAAUGUUAUCACGUGUUGCUCGAGGAACACACCAAAUGCAAAUGUCAAUGUAGCGUGACAGAAAAUCAUUGCAACAUUCAUCAGAUAUAUUCAGAAGAUAAUUGUGCGUGCGAAUGCAUGAAUAAAAGAAAGUGUGAUAAAGAACGCCAGAUGGUCUGGAAUGAAAAAUUGUGCAAAUGCACUUGCGACAAGGAAGAAGAAAUCUGCUCGAGUGGACUCGAAUGGGUUCCCUCUCGUUGCGGGUAAAACAAUCACGAGGAGAAAUUCUUAAAGUUCAUUUAGUAGCAUAGAUCGAAAUCAUUCUUUCGCUUUUAUUCCUUGAUAGCAAUAAUUAUUAAUAACAAAUUAAACAAAGUGACAUAUUUGCGAUUUAUGAUACUGAAAAACUUGUAUGAUAUAUGCGCCCAAGUGAUGGAGAUGUAUCAAUUAGAUAAAUCUAAUACUAAUUAUAUUAGAAAUUUAUAGGAAAAUAACACAAUAAC
RNAcentral lists this unclassified non-coding RNA (1234 nucleotides) under Acromyrmex echinatior (Panamanian leafcutter ant). RNAcentral describes it as "vascular endothelial growth factor A-A-like, transcript variant X1". The record is from RNAcentral. Lineage: Eukaryota; Metazoa; Arthropoda; Insecta; Hymenoptera; Formicidae.